GGGAAACUGCCCGAUGGAGGGGGAUAACUACUGGAAACGGUAGCUAAUACCACAUAACGUCGCAAGACCAAAGUGGGGGACCUUCGGGCCUCACACCAUCGGAUGUGCCCAGAUGGGAUUAGCUAGUAGGUGGGGUAAUGGCUCACCUAGGCGACGAUCCCUAGCUGGUCUGAGAGGAUGACCAGCCACACUGGAACUGAGACACGGUCCAGACUCCUACGGGAGGCAGCAGUGGGGAAUAUUGCACAAUGGGCGCAAGCCUGAUGCAGCCAUGCCGCGUGUAUGAAGAAGGCCUUCGGGUUGUAAAGUACUUUCAGCGGGGAGGAAGGCGGUGGAGUUAAUAACUUCACCGAUUGACGUUACCCGCAGAAGAAGCACCGGCUAACUCCGUGCCAGCAGCCGCGGUAAUACGGAGGGUGCAAGCGUUAAUCGGAAUUACUGGGCGUAAAGCGCACGCAGGCGGUCUGUCAAGUCGGAUGUGAAAUCCCCGGGCUUAACCUGGGAACUGCAUUCGAAACUGGCAGGCUAGAGUCUUGUAGAGGGGGGUAGAAUUCCAGGU
This 559-nucleotide ribosomal RNA is filed under the name uncultured bacterium. Its description in RNAcentral is "bacterial SSU rRNA". It matches the Rfam family "Bacterial small subunit ribosomal RNA", at positions 120 to 674 of the family's 1533-position model. The record is from RNAcentral.